GGCCUUUUAACUCAAUUGUAGAGUAAUACCAUGGUAAGUCAUAAAGCAUCAGAUCAAAUCCGAUAAAAGUCU
This 72-nucleotide transfer RNA is filed under the name Oryza punctata. It matches the Rfam family "tRNA". From Rfam's summary of the family: Transfer RNA (tRNA) molecules are approximately 80 nucleotides in length. Their secondary structure includes four short double-helical elements and three loops (D, anti-codon, and T loops). Further hydrogen bonds mediate the characteristic L-shaped molecular structure. tRNAs have two regions of fundamental functional importance: the anti-codon, which is responsible for specific mRNA codon recognition, and the 3' end, to which the tRNAs corresponding amino acid is attached (by aminoacyl-tRNA synthetases). tRNAs cope with the degeneracy of the genetic code in two manners: having more than one tRNA (with a specific anti-codon) for a particular amino acid; and 'wobble' base-pairing, i.e. permitting non-standard base-pairing at the 3rd anti-codon position. The record is from Rfam by way of RNAcentral. Lineage: Eukaryota; Viridiplantae; Streptophyta; Magnoliopsida; Poales; Poaceae.